Molecule: long non-coding RNA, 384 nt
Filed under: Mytilus galloprovincialis (Mediterranean mussel)
Lineage: Eukaryota; Metazoa; Mollusca; Bivalvia; Mytilida; Mytilidae
Source: RNAcentral
AUGGCUAAAAUGGCCGUAUUUUCACCUCAAAAUUUUCUCUGAGUACAGGCAAACCUGUGCAUCUGGAAAAGUUUUAAGGCAUAGCAUGCCCUAGAUAAAUAGAAUUCAAAUGCAUUGUAUGAUUUAGAAAAUUCAUAACUUAACUGGAUUUUGCCGUACACUUUUUUUCGUCUCUGCAGAAGACGAUAAAAUUAACAAACAGUUGAGUUUAUCUUGAUAUGGUCCACUCAGGUACACAGUUUAAAUAACCAUUAUUGUCAGGUAUCUAUUGUCCAUCUAAUGUCCAUGUCAAUUAAAAAUGCUCACUUUAAUUUUUACCUGUGGGGAAGUUCUCAAACCUGUUUCCCAACUUAGUUUAUUUUGGCACCUUCUGGAGAAAUGAAA